Molecule: ribosomal RNA, 479 nt
Filed under: uncultured bacterium
Lineage: Bacteria
Description: partial 16S ribosomal RNA
Rfam family: Bacterial small subunit ribosomal RNA
Source: RNAcentral
GAUGAACGCUAGCGGGAGGCCUAACACAUGCAAGCCGAGCGGUAUUGUUUCUUCGGCAAUGAGAGAGCGGCGUACGGGUGCGUAACACGUGUGCAACCUGCCUUUAUCUGGGGGAUAGCCUUUCGAAAGGAAGAUUAAUACUCCAUAAUAUAUUGAACGGCAUCGUUUAAUAUUGAAAGCUCCGGCGGAUAGAGAUGGGCACGCGCAAGAUUAGCUAGUUGGUGAGGUAACGGCUCACCAAGGCGAUGAUCUUUAGGGGGCCUGAGAGGGUGAUCCCCCACACUGGUACUGAGACACGGACCAGACUCCUACGGGAGGCAGCAGUGAGGAAUAUUGGUCAAUGGGUGCAAGCCUGAACCAGCCAUCCCGCGUGAAGGACGACUGCCCUAUGGGUGGUAAACUUCUUUUGUAUAGGGAUAAACCUACCCUCGAGAGGGUAGCUGAAGGUACUAUACGAAUAAGCACCGGCUAACUCCGUG